RNAcentral lists this ribosomal RNA (253 nucleotides) under uncultured bacterium. RNAcentral's name for it is "partial 16S ribosomal RNA". It matches the Rfam family "Bacterial small subunit ribosomal RNA", at positions 524 to 776 of the family's 1533-position model. The record is from RNAcentral.
UACGUAGGGUGCAAGCGUUGUCCGGAAUUAUUGGGCGUAAAGAGCUCGUAGGCGGUCUGUCGCGUCUGCUGUGAAAACUCGGGGCUUAACCCCGGGCCUGCGGUGGGUACGGGCAGACUAGAGUGCGGUAGGGGAGACUGGAAUUCCUGGUGUAGCGGUGAAAUGCGCAGAUAUCAGGAGGAACACCGGUGGCGAAGGCGGGUCUCUGGGCCGUAACUGACGCUGAGGAGCGAAAGCAUGGGGAGCGAACAGG